RNAcentral lists this ribosomal RNA (497 nucleotides) under uncultured bacterium. Its description in RNAcentral is "partial 16S ribosomal RNA". It matches the Rfam family "Bacterial small subunit ribosomal RNA", at positions 28 to 507 of the family's 1533-position model. The record is from RNAcentral.
GACGAACGCUGGCGGCGUGCCUAAUACAUGCAAGUAGAACGCUGAAGAGAGGAGCUUGCUCUUCUUGGAUGAGUUGCGAACGGGUGAGUAACGCGUAGGUAACCUGCCUUGUAGCGGGGGAUAACUAUUGGAAACGAUAGCUAAUACCGCAUAACAAUAGGUGACACAUGUCAUUUAUUUGAAAGGGGCAAUUGCUCCACUACAAGAUGGACCUGCGUUGUAUUAGCUAGUAGGUGAGGUAACGGCUCACCUAGGCGACGAUACAUAGCCGACCUGAGAGGGUGAUCGGCCACACUGGGACUGAGACACGGCCCAGACUCCUACGGGAGGCAGCAGUAGGGAAUCUUCGGCAAUGGGGGCAACCCUGACCGAGCAACGCCGCGUGAGUGAAGAAGGUUGUCGGAUCGUAAAGCUCUGUUGUAAGUCAAGAACGAGUGUGAGAGUGGAAAGUUCACACUGUGACGGUAGCUUACCAGAAAGGGACGGCUAACUACGUG